Molecule: RNA transcript, 4843 nt
Organism: Cryptomeria japonica (Japanese cedar)
Lineage: Eukaryota; Viridiplantae; Streptophyta; Pinopsida; Cupressales; Cupressaceae
Exons: 14
Source: RefSeq, a predicted model, not a curated record
UCCGCUAAACUUUGUUCCCCUUUUUGUAAUAAUAAUAUCAAUUGGGCAACCCCAGAGAAAGGCGGAAGAGGAACACUGAGACUAGAGUUAAUGCCGCCAACCCUUGAUUCACGUGAUUUGUUUUCAAUUAAUUUCUCUCUUCAUUCAUGUCGAAGUAUAGGUAGUUUAUCCAUCUAUCAGCCCGUAAGUAGUGUGGGUAUGAGCAUUGGGAUGUGCGCACUGUGCAGACAGUGAGGGCUGAAUCCUCACUACCUAGUUUCUCUCAAUGCAAUGCCUUAUGUAGCGGGGCUGAAAGUUGGAGUUGUAAAAACUGAAAUUUAGUAAGAGCUACUCCCACAGUUAUGAUGGUUUGGGCCAAGCUAAGGAAGUGGUGUAGCUUAUUAGCAUUAGCAUUGUGGGCAGUUGCCAUGGGGAUUUGCCAAGGAGCCCUGGUAAUCAACUUCACUCAGACUCCGCACAACCCCACUAAUGUGAGGGAUGCGUUUUUUAGAUAUACUGUAGCAGACGAGAGAGGUAGAAAUCCCUGUGAGGAUAAGGAUAUUAACUGCACCUUCACAUGUCAGCAGGUGGACGCAAAGCGUUUGUUUCCAUGUCCUGAUAAAUUUGCCUUCAUAAAAAAUGUAUCAGCAAACCAAGAGCACACUUUUAACUUGAAUGUUAAAACAUCAUUUGGGGAGCACACCUCGUCUAGCUACAGGUGGUCUGUCGAUACAAUAUCCCCCACAGCUUCUGUCAGCACUCAAGAGAAUUUUACAGGUGCUGCGAAUGUUUUAGUAAGCAUCAGAUUCAGCGAACCUUGUCCUGGUCGUGGAGGUUUUAAAUGUACAAGUGUGAGAGAUUGUGAUCUUACAGUAAAUGGCCCUGCUGAAGUAAUACCAUCUUCUUUAAGAAAGAUUGAAGCUGGCUUGAAAUACAACAUUCUUGUUGCUUUCUCUGUUCAAACUCUGUUUGGUAGAGUUGUUUUGAGCUUGGCAAGAGAUAUCUGUACUGACCAAGCAGGGAAUCCUUUUAUGAGGAAAGAGAAUUCCAGUUUUGUUAUUCAUUUUGCAGAUAAGAGACCAGUUUAUGUCAACUUAUGGACAUCAAUCCCAGAGUUACAAAUGAAUAUUAAUAAUGAACUGCGGACCGUAGAAGCUACAAACAAAGUAGAUAGUCUGAAAGUCUUUUUGGAUUUUAAUAAUCCGAUAGUUAAUUCAACUGCAGAGGUUCUGAGUGUGUUGCACUUGCAACCUAAUACUGGGAUACUUACGCCCAUUCAUCGUAAAAGUCAUGGGAAUCGAAGGUUUGGUUUUCAAAUCACAAACCUAGCUAGUGUAGCAGCUGUUACAGUAAACCUUCAGUCAAACAGCCUUCUUAGCAGAGCAGGGAUAGCUGUUUCACCUCCUGUGCCAUUGGCAUUUCUUUAUGAUAUGAAAAGACCUCAAGUACAUCUCAGUACAAGUUCACCUGGAAAGACUAAAGCACACGUUAUUACAAUUAUGAUAGACUUUACGGAGCCUGUGUUUGAGUUUUACUCCUCUGGUAUUGCAGUUCAUGGUGGGAGGAUUGCAAGAUUUAAAGAGCUAUCCAUGUCCUCAUAUGUGGUAAACGUAAUAGUUGCAUUCGAGAAUGUUGUAACAGUAUUCAUUCCAGAAAAUAAGGCAACCGACAUUGCUGGAAAUCUGAAUCUUGCAUCAAAUCGAUUGCAAGUCAGGCAUUAUUCUGUGCCUGCAAUGUCCAUUGCAUUGCAUUCAUUUACAGCUGCCGGUCUUAUAGCUACCUCUUUUGCUGCUGGUGUUCUUGCUAUCUCCUCAGCUACUCUAGCAGCUACAGGAACUCUAACAAGUGGGAUAGCAGGUUCCAUUAUUGCUGAUCCAUCGAGAAACCUUUUGGGAAUGGCUGGGCAUUUACAAGUAUUUGCCUUUUCGAGUUGGUUGUCUGUCAGUUUGCCUAUAGAAUAUCAUGAGACCACCAUGGGUCUUAGGUGGCUCAUUCCUCAUGCUAAGCUGCCCUGGAAAAGACAUGAGACCUUAAUAAGUAACUUUGAACCUCAAUUUGUGGUUGGCAUUCCUACCAUGUCGACAGUCAAUCCCAAGCGCAAUUUGAUAUCUGACAAAUUUAAGUAUUAUCAUAAAAGAGACCAUUAUUUACUUGAUUCUACUUUGCAAUACUCACUAUUCAUUAAAAAACUAUGUGCAGAAAGACAUUCUACUUUAGAAUGCUGCAUGAGUUUUAUACAGGAGCACAUUCAUGGUCAGAAACUCAUUUGGCACAAGGGUGGUCAAAGGAUGUUUUCAGGUUUGCAGAUACCAUCGUUGGAUGCUUGUAAUUAUGAAUUACAACAAUCUAGGAAUGUAAUGCAUACUGCUAGAGGAUAUAGGGAGCGGAAGCUAGGAGCAAAUUCCACUAUGUAUGGACCAGCUCUUGAAUUAAGAGAAUAUAUUCGCUACUUUAUAAAUCAAAGUGAAUGGUUAUCAGCGUCGAAACUCUUACAUGGUGGAAAACACUACACAGGAUGGCAGGAUUUUGGAAUGAAUAUGUUCUGGCUUGGAGUUGUAGCUGGGGCCUUAUUUGCUCUGCAUGUAUUGAUAGUCCUUUUUCUGAAGUGGCGAACAAAAACAUCUCUCCGAGGAGCUCUUUCUUUUCCUAGAUUUGAGCUUUUCAUACUGAUACUUACACUUCCUUCCAUGUGUCAAGCAUCUGCAUUCAUCAUCAGAGGUGGUACCACUGCAGGCAUCACUAUAGGAGUAGUAUUACUUGCAUUGCCAGCAGCCUUUCUCCUAUCAGUUUUUCUUUUCCUCAUAGUUGCAGUGUUUAUGGGUGAUCUUUCUCAAUACAAAGAAAUAAGAAGUGAAAACGAGAAAUUUGGUUUGUGCAGUAAAUUUAUUGCUGUAUUCGUGGGUAGGAAUGCAAUUGGCAAGUGGUUUCGCAAAGAAGGAUUACCGUCAUCUUUUCUGGCUAGGUUUGGCAUUUUAUUUGAAGAUCGUAAAGGUCCUGCAAAGUUGAUAUUUGUUAAUGAAGAUAAUCCAAAGUGGAUUGACAGUGGUGCAAGUGGUAUUGGAAGGAUGAGGGCUGUUAAUUCUGAAGAUGAUAUCGAAGAGAGAACACCAGCACAAUUUCAAAGGGUUAUUGGAUCUGCCAGGUCGGCAUACUUUAUUCUUGAUCUCUUUAGAAGAAUAACAUUAGGAAUUAUUUUUGGGGCAUAUCCCUUGUCAGAUCAUUCCUGGAGCCAAACAAGUAUAGCAUUUGGUUUUACUUUAGUUCAAUUGUUCUAUCUGGUAUUACUGAAGCCAUACAUCAGAAGAGGAGUGCAAAUAGUUGAAAGUAUCUGCCUUCUGUGUGAGGCAGGGGUUUUUGCUGCUAGUCUUGUGCUCCUAGCUGAUGGGAGUCCCUCUGAGGAUCGCAAAUGUAUUGGCAUCUUUAUGCUUGUACUUAUGUUUGUCAGUUUUGUCUCUCAACUGAUUAAUGAAUGGUAUGCUUUAAUGAAUUGCCUUGUAAGAUUGUCACCAUCUCAGAAGCCAUCCCUCAAGCUAGGGCUCAAAAUGGUAGUACGAGGAAUAUUUUUGCCUUUGAUACCUCAGCAUUAUUGGUCGAAGUUCAUAACCCCAGAACCCUCACAACCCAAGAUUGGCUUAGUUCCAGUUGUUCCAUUUAGUCCCGAGGCAGAACAUGAAAAACGAGUGCCUGAGAUAUCUCAGAUUGAACCUUCAUUUACUGUUGCUGAAGACGUUCCUACAUACCAUCCUGGGUCUCCUUGUUUCAUAGACCCACGAACGGUUCCUCCUGCAAUUAGUGAGGGUGAAGUUCAAGGACAAGAUUCAGGUGAAAUAAGAGCGGAGUCUUCUCCAAAGGCUGGUCAAACCUGGAGUCAGUGGGGAAGAGCAAGAGCAUUAGAAGGAAAAAGAUCAAAAGGAAUCAAAUUUGACCCCAGAACAAGCGAGUUGAAAAUGCUAAGAGAACUAGCUAAAGCAAGCUUUCCAGGAAUCAGGAAAGAUGAAGAUUCAGCAGAAAUAGCAGGUUCUGUGGAGCUGACUAAGGCUAGUCCUAGUUCCACUCCAAAAGAAGUGAUGAAUGUAAGCACAGGUUCAGGACUAAGGGCGAAUUACUCUGCAAAAUCUUCUUCAGAGGAUGAUUCAGAAACUCCCUCACCAAUGGAGUCUCCCCUUCAGGUUCCAGCCAUUACCAGCUUAAAAGUUCAAACUAGCGCAUUUGGCAGUAUGGAAAAGCAAUAGUGGCAGGAUACAGUAUUUCACAAUAAGCAGCAUAAUCAUGGGAGGAUUUGAACUUGGCUUUGAUAUUGUUAAGAUUUGAGUCAAACUGAUUCCAGAUCGCUCCAGUUUCUGAGCACAGUGAGACCAGGGGAUAUACAGGAAAAGUUGAUGUGACGGGUGAUAUUUUAUUCGCUCCUAGAACAUUUUUUAUCAGUUGCAUGACAGUAGUGCUUGGCAAAAUUAAUCUAGCACAUUGUAACUUAAAGAAGCAAGCAGCCAAGAUUUUUGAAAGUAUCAUGCAACUCAAGCUAGCUGAUUUGAACGUUCAAGAAUACUAACCUCCAUUGUAUUAACCACUUUGUGUUACAGCAGCAAUGCCCAGUAAUGAAAGAUCCAACAUUCAGACAGCUCUAGUGAAAUCUUGACUGUAGGAUGGUGAACGCAUGCGUCUGGGUGUCUAAAUAUUUUGUCUUCUGCACAAAUGUAAUCAAUGCCCAUUGUUGAAUCAAUGACACUGAACAGUGGUCGCAAUGCAAUUUUUUAAUUAGUACAAAAUAUAUACAUGUUCCAAUUGCUGAAUUAUGAACACUGAACAGUGGUCACAAUUGUUAAAUUAUAGUCUCAGUCGUAAACCAAAUCUGUUUGUAUCAGCG